GGGGAUGCAAGGCAUAGACAGUCGGCCAUUUGUUAUUGAUGCAUACCGAGCAUGGGCGUAAUCUCGUAAAACUUCGCUCAAUAGCUUAAUUGCAAAAUUAGCUUCCAAAGUGAAAGCUUUGUCUCCAUACUUCGGUAUGAAUGACUUUGCUUUCGCUUCAGUUGGCGCUUAUACGUAAACUGAUGUCUCUCUUAUAGACUUCCGAUAUAUAAGGGCAGGCAUAAUAUUAUCGGGAUAAGGAAAUGCCCGUUCGAACAUUUUUCGAAAACUUAGAACUCGAUUAAAAAAUAUUUUGCGUAUUUCUUAAUUUUUUAAUUUAAACCAAAAAUACGCUAUGUAUGUAGAUUUCUUUACAAAAACCUUCUGCACGGGGAUUCGAUUUCCCCCAUCUCCACAA
Molecule: transfer-messenger RNA, 397 nt
Filed under: Candidatus Nomurabacteria bacterium RIFCSPHIGHO2_01_FULL_41_91
Lineage: Bacteria; Candidatus Nomuraibacteriota
Also listed under: 6 other names
Rfam family: transfer-messenger RNA
About the family: Bacterial tmRNA, also known as 10Sa RNA or SsrA, is named for its dual tRNA and mRNA-like properties. Its role is to liberate the mRNA from a stalled ribosome.
Source: RNAcentral